Molecule: ribosomal RNA, 253 nt
Filed under: uncultured bacterium
Lineage: Bacteria
Description: partial 16S ribosomal RNA
Rfam family: Bacterial small subunit ribosomal RNA
Source: RNAcentral
UACGAAGGGGGCUAGCGUUGCUCGGAAUCACUGGGCGUAAAGCGCACGUAGGCGGACUCUUAAGUCGGUGGUGAAAUCCUGGAGCUCAACUCCAGAACUGCCUUCGAUACUGAGAGUCUCGAGUCCGGGAGAGGCGAGUGGAACUGCGAGUGUAGAGGUGAAAUGCGUAGAGAUGUGGAGGAAUACCGAUGGCGAAGGCAGCCUCCUGGGCCAACACUGACGCUCAUGCACGAAAGCGUGGGGAGCAAACAGG